GACGAACGCUGGCGGCGUGCCUAAUACAUGCAAGUCGAACGCUUUUUCUUUCACUGAGACUUGUCUCACCGAAAGAAAAAGAGUGGCGAACGGGUGAGUAACACGUGGGUAACCUGCCCUCGAGAAGGGGAUAACACUUGGAAACAGGUGCUAAUACCGUAUAACAAUAACUGCCGCAUGGCAGGUAUUUGAAAGGCGCUUUUGCGUCACUCGAGGAUGGACCCGCGGUGCAUUAGCUAGUUGGUGAGGUAACGGCUCACCAAGGCGACGAUGCAUAGCCGACCUGAGAGGGUGAUCGGCCACACUGGGACUGAGACACGGCCCAGACUCCUACGGGAGGCAGCAGUAGGGAAUCUUCGGCAAUGGACGAAAGUCUGACCGAGCAACGCCGCGUGAGUGAAGAAGGUUUUCGGAUCGUAAAACUCUGUUGUUAGAGAAGAACAAGGAUGAGAGUAGAACGUUCAUCCCUUGACGGUAUCUAACCAGAAAGCCACGGCUAACUACGUGCCAGCAGCCGCGGUAAUACGUAGGUGGCAAGCGUUGUCCGGAUUUAUUGGGCGUAAAGCGAGCGCAGGCGGUUCUUUAAGUCUGAUGUGAAAGCCCCCGGCUCAACCGGGGAGGGUCAUUGGAAACUGGAGAACUUGAGUGCGGAAGAGGAGAGUGGAAUUCCAUGUGUAGCGGUGAAAUGCGUAGAUAUAUGGAGGAACACCAGUGGCGAAGGCGGCUCUCUGGUCUGUAACUGACGCUGAGGCUCGAAAGCGUGGGGAGCAAACAGG
This 776-nucleotide ribosomal RNA is filed under the name uncultured Enterococcus sp. RNAcentral's name for it is "bacterial SSU rRNA". It matches the Rfam family "Bacterial small subunit ribosomal RNA", at positions 28 to 776 of the family's 1533-position model. Lineage: Bacteria; Bacillati; Bacillota; Bacilli; Lactobacillales; Enterococcaceae. The record is from RNAcentral.